This 310-nucleotide long non-coding RNA is filed under the name Crocodylus porosus (Australian saltwater crocodile). Its description in RNAcentral is "lncRNA (ENSCPRG00005012174.1)". The record is from RNAcentral. Lineage: Eukaryota; Metazoa; Chordata; Crocodylia; Crocodylidae.
GCUGAGGCUGACAAGGUCCAAGGAGGACCUGAGGGACUUCCUCUCAGGGCAACAAGCCUUAAAGAUCAAGGAAAGGAAGGAAUGAAGAGUGGAAUAGAAGAAGGCAGUACCAGGGCAGGAAGCAGAGAGACAGAAAGCCGUGCAGGGAAUACUGAAGCUACAAAUCUCGAGGCUCAGAAACCCAAGUUACUGCAGCGGCUGCCUUGGACUUCUCCAGUCAGGGUAAUUGUCUUGGAUCAGAGCAGCCCUUCUAAGUGAUUGAAGUAAACAGCUAAAUAAAAGCCAGCAUGUUUUUUUCUUAUCUUCCCCA